RNAcentral lists this ribosomal RNA (292 nucleotides) under uncultured bacterium. Its description in RNAcentral is "partial 16S ribosomal RNA". The record is from RNAcentral.
GGACUACCAGGGUAUCUAAUCCUGUUUGCUCCCCACGCUUUCGCGCCUGAGCGUCAGCCGUCGGCCAGGGCACUGCCUUCGCCAUUGGUGUUCCUCCGGAUCUCUACGCAUUUCACCGCUCCACCCGGAAUUCCAUGCCCCUCUCCGACGCUCAAGCCGCCCCGUCUGCAUGGACCUCUCCUAGUUAAGCCAGGAGCUUUCACCACACACGCGGGCGGCCGCCUGCGCGCCCUUUACGCCCAGUAACUCCGGACAACGCUCGUCUCCUACGUAUUACCGCGGCUGCUGGCAC